CAUUCUCAAUAAACUACUUCU
This 21-nucleotide transfer RNA is filed under the name Neotoma fuscipes (dusky-footed woodrat). Its description in RNAcentral is "partial tRNA-Pro". Lineage: Eukaryota; Metazoa; Chordata; Mammalia; Rodentia; Cricetidae. The record is from RNAcentral.